This 253-nucleotide ribosomal RNA is filed under the name uncultured bacterium. Its description in RNAcentral is "partial 16S ribosomal RNA". It matches the Rfam family "Bacterial small subunit ribosomal RNA", at positions 524 to 776 of the family's 1533-position model. The record is from RNAcentral.
UACAGAGGUCUCAAGCGUUGUUCGGAUUCAUUGGGCGUAAAGGGUGCGUAGGCGGCGCGGUAAGUCGGGUGUGAAAUCUCGGAGCUUAACUCCGAAACUGCAUUCGAUACUGCCGUGCUUGAGGACUGGAGAGGAGACUGGAAUUUACGGUGUAGCGGUGAAAUGCGUAGAUAUCGUAAGGAAGACCAGUGGCGAAGGCGGGUCUCUGGACAGUUCCUGACGCUGAGACACGAAAGCCAGGGGAGCAAACGGG